CUAGAAUGUUCACUGAGUUUCGAUGCCUUAAAGGGACCAGGCCUCGGAUCGUGAAAGAUGUGGGGCAGUGACCCCGCUCACCCACCUGUAGAGUCGGAGCCCGUUUUAUAUACCUUUGACCGGAGAGAAGGCUAAUGUUGCCUGUGGACGUUCCCGGAGGCCGGAACCCCGUCCCGUUCUUCGCCAUUGAGCUCGAUCACAAUCUCACUGGGGACUAACAGUCCACUGAGGUGUGUGGCAGGUUUGUUCGUAAUCCUCCCUCGGCUCUUUUUAACUCUCUCUUCUCUCUGAGGUGGUGGUUAUUGUCCCCAUUUUACGGAUGAGGGAGGAAAUCCGGGCACAGGAUUAAGCAUGUUUCCCUAGGUUACACAGCUUAAGGAACAGCAACCUGAAAGUCACUCCCAAGUCAGCUGGACUCCAAGUCAGUGUUUUUGGUGAUGAAGGUGGGCUGUGAUACGUAUGUUUUAUUCUGGGUGUACUGAGUCCUGGAGAGUAGUUUUUCCCUUUAAAGCAAUUCCAGUGCCCCUGAACAGGUAACCCACAAGUAACCCCAGCCUGCGGAUACAGGAGGGCGAGACCUCAGGGCCUGACCCGGAUGAGGGUAGGUGAGUGAAGAGGCGCUUCCUCUCGGGUGUCCGUCCUGUACUUGCGGGGCCCUGAGAGCGGGCACCUCCUUGAGGUUUGCACUCUAGGCACCUCACUCACCACACCUGCGUCCCAGCCCUGCCACGCCUACCCUUGGCUCGUUUUUCUCUCUGGAAACUAGAGAGGGCAUCCCGCUUAAUGCGUCCUGGUCUGGCACGCCAGCGUCCGGUUCUGCCCCAGUGCUGAAGAAAUACCUUGUUUCUCUUGCAUCAUAAUCUCCUCUCUGUAAAGCAGCGAUUUCCUACUGAAACAGCAUCGUCAUGCCAAGACGAAAUGAGACAAGAGCUUCGUACAGUUUUGAGCAAAACGCUGCGCCUGUAUACUGGAAGUGGAGGCGGGCGGCGAGCGCUGUCACUGGUCUCUUCCGACGGUCGUUACUGGUCGUUGGCUGAGCGUCACAAGCCCAUCCUCAGGGCACACCUGCCAGGUCUGUCAGGGGUACCUUCCUCCCCCGGCUCACCCCCCAGAGACGUUUAGAACUGACCCCUCUCCCCUCAUACCCAGUCUCCCCCCACCACCCAGCUCUCUUCUUUGAGUGCCCUGCUCCUGGCCCCUCCAUCAGGCUGAUGAAGUCACUGCCCACUGCUCUUCCUGUUCUCCGGGUUUUCUGGCGCCUCUGACCGAACACCUUGUGUGUCUCCCAUGGCAGCCUUGGGAGAAGAUGGAGAAAACCUCAGGCAGCCUCAGCUGUGGCCAGCGGCUCUCCCUCUGUACUGGGGCUGGACACGCAGAUGUGGAAGCUUAGAGCGGUUCACGCCUCUGUUAGGAGUCUCAGGUGAAACGGUGAACAUAAAUGUCCAUGGGGACCUUCCGGACCCAGGGAUCACACCUGGGUCUCCCGCACUGCAGGCAGAUUCUUUACCAUCGGAGCCAACUUAGGCGCGAUUCCCAGUGGAAUGAGAACAACAGUAAGGUGAUGAUACUCCUCUGUAUGUAGAGUUCAGUCCAUCCUGGGGUCACAGAGACUUGGGCUGGAGUCUGAGCCCCACCACAAUCAGCUCUGCAACUUUGGGAAAGUCCUUAACCCCUCUGACCUCAGUUUCUCUAACUCCACAGGAUUGUGUUGUCUUCCUCAGAGCAUUUGGAAAAUUA
Long non-coding RNA from Cervus elaphus (red deer), 1737 nucleotides. RefSeq lists it as uncharacterized. NCBI's taxonomy places the organism in Eukaryota, Metazoa, Chordata, Mammalia, Artiodactyla, Cervidae. The record is from RefSeq and is a predicted model, not a curated record. The transcript is spliced from 4 exons.